This 600-nucleotide ribosomal RNA is filed under the name uncultured bacterium. RNAcentral's name for it is "bacterial SSU rRNA". It matches the Rfam family "Bacterial small subunit ribosomal RNA", at positions 77 to 680 of the family's 1533-position model. The record is from RNAcentral.
UGCUUCUUGGGUGACGAGCGGCGGACGGGUGAGUAAUGCAUAGGAAUCUGCCCGAUAGUGGGGGAUAACCUGGGGAAACCCAGGCUAAUACCGCAUACGUCCUACGGGAGAAAGGGGGCUCCGGCUCCCGCUAUGGGAUGAGCCUAUGUCGGAUUAGCUAGUUGGUGAGGUAACGGCUCACCAAGGCAACGAUCCGUAGCUGGUCUGAGAGGAUGAUCAGCCACAUCGGGACUGAGACACGGCCCGAACUCCUACGGGAGGCAGCAGUGGGGAAUAUUGGACAAUGGGCGCAAGCCUGAUCCAGCCAUGCCGCGUGUGUGAAGAAGGCCCUCGGGUUGUAAAGCACUUUCAGCGAGGAAGAACGCCUAGCGGUUAAUACCCGCUAGGAAAGACAUCACUCGCAGAAGAAGCACCGGCUAACUCCGUGCCAGCAGCCGCGGUAAUACGGAGGGUGCAAGCGUUAAUCGGAAUUACUGGGCGUAAAGCGCGCGUAGGUGGCUUGAUAAGCCGGUUGUGAAAGCCCCGGGCUCAACCUGGGGACGGCAUCCGGAACUGUCAAGCUAGAGUGCAGGAGAGGAAGGUAGAAUUCCCGGUGUAGCG